Molecule: ribosomal RNA, 1189 nt
Filed under: Escherichia coli
Lineage: Bacteria; Pseudomonadati; Pseudomonadota; Gammaproteobacteria; Enterobacterales; Enterobacteriaceae
Description: partial 23S ribosomal RNA
Rfam family: Bacterial large subunit ribosomal RNA
Source: RNAcentral
GGUUAAGCGACUAAGCGUACACGGUGGAUGCCCUGGCAGUCAGAGGCGAUGAAGGACGUGCUAAUCUGCGAUAAGCGUCGGUAAGGUGAUAUGAACCGUUAUAACCGGCGAUUUCCGAAUGGGGAAACCCAGUGUGUUUCGACACACUAUCAUUAACUGAAUCCAUAGGUUAAUGAGGCGAACCGGGGGAACUGAAACAUCUAAGUACCCCGAGGAAAAGAAAUCAACCGAGAUUCCCCCAGUAGCGGCGAGCGAACGGGGAGGAGCCCAGAGCCUGAAUCAGUGUGUGUGUUAGUGGAAGCGUCUGGAAAGGCGCGCGAUACAGGGUGACAGCCCCGUACACAAAAAUGCACAUACUGUGAGCUCGAUGAGUAGGGCGGGACACGUGGUAUCCUGUCUGAAUAUGGGGGGACCAUCCUCCAAGGCUAAAUACUCCUGACUGACCGAUAGUGAACCAGUACCGUGAGGGAAAGGCGAAAAGAACCCCGGCGAGGGGAGUGAAAAAGAACCUGAAACCGUGUACGUACAAGCAGUGGGAGCCUCUUUUAUGGGGUGACUGCGUACCUUUUGUAUAAUGGGUCAGCGACUUAUAUUCUGUAGCAAGGUUAACCGAAUAGGGGAGCCGAAGGGAAACCGAGUCUUAACUGGGCGUUAAGUUGCAGGGUAUAGACCCGAAACCCGGUGAUCUAGCCAUGGGCAGGUUGAAGGUUGGGUAACACUAACUGGAGGACCGAACCGACUAAUGUUGAAAAAUUAGCGGAUGACUUGUGGCUGGGGGUGAAAGGCCAAUCAAACCGGGAGAUAGCUGGUUCUCCCCGAAAGCUAUUUAGGUAGCGCCUCGUGAAUUCAUCUCCGGGGGUAGAGCACUGUUUCGGCAAGGGGGUCAUCCCGACUUACCAACCCGAUGCAAACUGCGAAUACCGGAGAAUGUUAUCACGGGAGACACACGGCGGGUGCUAACGUCCGUCGUGAAGAGGGAAACAACCCAGACCGCCAGCUAAGGUCCCAAAGUCAUGGUUAAGUGGGAAACGAUGUGGGAAGGCCCAGACAGCCAGGAUGUUGGCUUAGAAGCAGCCAUCAUUUAAAGAAAGCGUAAUAGCUCACUGGUCGAGUCGGCCUGCGCGGAAGAUGUAACGGGGCUAAACCAUGCACCGAAGCUGCGGCAGCGACGCUUAUGCGUUGUUGGGUA